CAGUAGCCGCGGGAAUACGUAGGGUCCGAGCGUUGUCCGGAAUUAUUGGGCGUAAAGGGCUCGUAGGCGGUUUGUCGCGUCGGGAGUGAAAACCAGCAGCUUAACUGCUGGCCUGCUUUCGAUACGGGCAGACUUGAGGCAUUCAGGGGAGAGCGGAAUUCCUGGUGUAGCGGUGAAAUGCGCAGAUAUCAGGAGGAACACCGGUGGCGAAGGCGGUUCUCUGGGAAUGUUCUGACGUUGAGGAGCGAAAGUGUGGGGAGCGAACAGGAUUAGAUACCCCAGUAGUCCCUGUCUCUUAUAC
Molecule: ribosomal RNA, 301 nt
Filed under: uncultured bacterium
Lineage: Bacteria
Description: partial 16S ribosomal RNA
Rfam family: Bacterial small subunit ribosomal RNA
Source: RNAcentral